GGAUCAAUCUAUCGGUCGUGCAAUAGUACGUACUGAUUUUAUUGAUUCCUACCUUCUGAUGAACUAUGAUGUCAUUAAUUUGGUGUCAUAGGGAAUCAGGACUGUUACUUUGAAAAAAUUAGAGUGUUUAAAGCAGGCCUACGCUUGAAUACAUUAGCAUGGAAUAAUAGAAUAGGACUU
Molecule: ribosomal RNA, 180 nt
Filed under: uncultured Glomeromycotina
Lineage: Eukaryota; Fungi; Glomeromycota
Description: partial small subunit ribosomal RNA
Rfam family: Eukaryotic small subunit ribosomal RNA (bases 37-180)
Source: RNAcentral